This 812-nucleotide long non-coding RNA is filed under the name Homo sapiens (human). RNAcentral describes it as "HSALNT0372750". The record is from RNAcentral. Lineage: Eukaryota; Metazoa; Chordata; Mammalia; Primates; Hominidae.
GGUGCCUGCGAUCCCCAAAACCCCAAAGGGCGUUUUUUACAGUGCUCUUUUAGCUCUGCUGACCGCGGAUGGCUUAAGUGUUAACAGCUCAGUGGGCCCUUUGCCUUUUCUCAUGAGUCGGCUGCCCUGUGCCAGCAAGGGCAAAGGGCCAGUGUAACAGCCUUUUGUAUCUGCACUCGUGGCUCCUGAGCUCCUGUUCGGCACACAGGAAAAAUGAGGUCGCACCAACAAACUGAAGGAUGGUAAAUGUUGAGGAUUUUAUUGCCAAUGAAAGCGGCUGUCACUGGGAGCUGAAAAGGUAAUGGAAAGCUGAAAAGCGGAUAAGGUGGGUAGGUACCUGAAGUCUGGCCAUCUACGGCAGCUGGAUUCUUCUCCAAAGUUAUACUGUCAAGCUGUCCCUCUGAAGCCAAGCCACUUCUCUUUGACAUCCAGCCGUAGUCUCUGCUCCUCUCCAACUGAGUAUGAGGGAGAUGUUUCCUAUUAUCCUUGAUAAUGUGCCAUGAACAUAUGAAAAAACAUAGAAACAUGAAGAAAACAAGAAGACAAAAAUCACUAACAUCUGGUUGGCUGUAUAGAAACAAAGCUGAUUCUGCCCUUUAAAGAUCUUGUUCCGAUGAGCAGGGAGAGGAGCCAAGAUGGCUGAAUAGGAACAGCUCCGGUCUACAGCUCCCAGAGUGAGCGACGCAGAAGACGGGUGAUUUCUGCAUUUCCAUCUGUGGUACCAGGUUCAUCUUACUAGGAACUGCCAGACAGUGGGCGCAGGACAGUGGGUGCAGCGCACUGUGCAUGAGCUGAAGCAGGGUGAGGCAUUG